Molecule: ribosomal RNA, 476 nt
Filed under: uncultured organism
Description: partial 16S ribosomal RNA
Rfam family: Bacterial small subunit ribosomal RNA
Source: RNAcentral
ACACUCCUGCGGGAGGCAGCAGUGGGGAAUAUUGCACAAUGGGCGCAAGCCUGAUGCAGCCAUGCCGCGUGUGUGAAGAAGGCCUUCGGGUUGUAAAGCACUUUCAGCGGGGAGGAAGGCGAUACGGUUAAUAACCGUGUUGAUUGACGUUACCCGCAGAAGAAGCACCGGCUAACUCCGUGCCAGCAGCCGCGGUAAUACGGAGGGUGCAAGCGUUAAUCGGAAUUACUGGGCGUAAAGCGCACGCAGGCGGUCUGUCAAGUCGGAUGUGAAAUCCCCGGGCUCAACCUGGGAACUGCAUUCGAAACUGGCAGGCUUGAGUCUUGUAGAGGGGGGUAGAAUUCCAGGUGUAGCGGUGAAAUGCGUAGAGAUCUGGAGGAAUACCGGUGGCGAAGGCGGCCCCCUGGACAAAGACUGACGCUCAGGUGCGAAAGCGUGGGGAGCAAACAGGAUUAGAAACCCUUGUAGUCCCAUGA